Molecule: long non-coding RNA, 3420 nt
Organism: Lotus japonicus
Lineage: Eukaryota; Viridiplantae; Streptophyta; Magnoliopsida; Fabales; Fabaceae
Exons: 3
Source: RefSeq, a predicted model, not a curated record
AUCUGCAUUACUUUCUGUCUGCAAUUCGGUUUGUGCUCAUUCACUUAAGAGAUGGCAAUUUUCUGGUUUUUGGCUUCUUUUGCAUAGGUACUGCACUGUAUCUUUUGGAACUGGUUGUUCUGUUUUUUCUGCUUAGCACUGUACGGUUCUGGCCUUGCUGUGAAUCUCAUUUUGUGAUUGCAAAUCUGCAUGUUUUUUCCUGCUACUGCUCCUUUGAAUUUCGUCAGCUUUUGGAUUUAAGGUGGCAGCAAGUAGUCUAAAAUGAGGCCAAAAGGCACCAUCCAAAGGUGUCUAUUUGCUGGAUGAUGUUUGUGGAACCACCACCCAAGCAAAGAUGCUCCUGCUAUGCUCAACAGCAUAGACAACAUGAAAAUCACCAACCACUCAAGGCACUGUGUGCAGAGAUUCUUUUUAUAAAUACACGAUUUUGGUAAUUUAUAAUUUUAGUUGAUAUUUCUUUUCUGUUCUGUGAGGUUUCCAUUUUCUUCUUCUUCAUUUCCUUAAGAAUUGAAUAAUAAAUCUUCAGCAACAAUAACAGAAAGAGGGAAUGGUUUUGUGGAACAUGACUGGCAGCAGGUUGAAAGAAGUGAUGUUUGUCCUUCACCAAGUGAGCAUAUUUCCUGCAACGAUGUCCCUACAUCAUCAAAUAAAAUUGGAAUCCCUCUUCAAGUAUCAAAAGAAGACUAUGAUUCAACAACUGUUGAAGUGGGGCUAACAUCUGAGCAAAGACCCACCAUGGAUGGUGAGGAAAUUGUUAAGUCAGGCAGUAAGCUGACUGCUGACAACAUCUGAACCAACCCCUGUUUCGAGCGAUAUUGCUCAGCAAAAUUCUGUUUUACUGGAUCUUGGCGAUGCUUAUAAGUUAACUGUCGGUAAUAGAGGAAGGUAGCUGUCUGGCAUGCUUGCAGAAGUCUGGACUGGGAAAGAUUCUACAAGAGUUAGUGAAGAUUUGAAGACAUUGUUGUCAUAAUUUUCUGCCACUCGAGGAUCUGAUCUGCCUUUUUAUGAUAUCAGUCCUAGAUUGUCUAAAUAGCGAUGAAGUGAAGACUUCUGAUGUUUCUAACUCUGCUGGAAUGCAUAUGCUUCAAAAAAUUAUUUCACUUGAGAGAAACGAGUCUGGUUUGUCUCUUGAUGGAAGCAUUGACAGUGAAAUCGAAGGUGAAAGCUCGGUUGACAGACUAAGAAGACAAGUUGAUCAUGACCGGAAACGUUUAAAUGCUUUGUAUAAAGAGCUGGAGGAAGAAAGAAAUGCUUCUGCAGUUGCUGGGAGUCGAGCAUUAGCCAUGAUCACUAGGCUACAGGAAGAAAAGGCAACAUUACACAUGGAAGCCUUGCAAUAAUUUAGAGUGAUGGAUGAGGAGUCAGAGUAUGAAACAGAAGCUUUGCAAAAGGCUAACAACCUUCUUGCUGAAAAGGAAAAAGAAAUAGAAGACUUGGAAGCAAAGCUUGAGUUUUAUAGGAUGCGAUUCCCCCAUGAAUCAGUUUCGGAGAACAUUGUGGAGACAAACUCUGAAAUGAAGUUGAAAGAUAUUGGAUUAGAUCAUUCACAAUUUACUCGCAUUGAAAAUGAUGAAAGUGUCAUUGGAAAAUUAGUUACUGAGAAUCCUAAUAUCUCUGACAAAUCUGACAUUCUACCCACAUCUUUGGAGGAAAAAAAUGUUCAAUCUAUAAAAAGUUCACCUUUAGAGUUUCAAGAUGAAAAGCUAUAUAGUUCCCAAUGUUUAGAGAAGUUGGAGAAGCCACUCUCUUCUUUAUCACCAACAGUGUCAUUGUUAAUAUUGUCUUUGAUCAAAUUUCAGAUUAUUGAAUAGGGAUAGCAGACAGAUAAACAAUCUUUCUAAUUUCCCUUUUUCUUUUCCCCCCCUUCCAGACCUGAGUGUUUCCAAGUUUCAACAUUUUGCCUGGAUUAUUCAAGUCAUAUUGGAAAGAAGCUCGAAGUUUGAUCUGAUUAACUUUUAAGCAAUUGAUUUCUCCUUUCGAGUUUGCGUGUCAAUGGCUACCGCGGGAGUCUCGUCUUCUGAGUCGCACAUGCAUAGCCUUCCCAGACGUGUUAACUUUUUCCUAUUUAUUGAUGCUGUUCUAUCUUAUGUUAUUACAAAGUUUGCCGGUUACUGCAAAUUGCAAACGCUGUGCCUGAUCUGCUCAAGCUUGAUCAUGUUUUAGGCAAGGAGAAAAGAGAGGACUUUUUAAGGCUAUGGCUAUUUUAAAGCGGAAGAAAUCAAAGACUUUUGCACCUCAUGUGGUAUUAUUACAAAUUACUCAAGCUAAAUUUAACAGUCUAUUUUAUUAUGUUUACAGCUCAAUGCUUUAAAACUAUAUUUGAGCCAUGUAAAACACGAAUUCUUCUAUGUUUUAUUAGUUUCUUCCUAUGUCAUUGCUUGCUAGGCAUCCAGAGUAAGAAGGAUUGGUCAAGUCAGUUUGUUUUCUUUGACUGUGCUUGCUUUUGGAGUGACAGAAUUGGCUAUCAGAAAAAUUCUUGCUUUGCUUUGGUUGGAGAAUAUGAAUCACUCCAUGUUGAUAAACUUGGGGCAUUAUUGUUGACAUGGUUUGGUUGAAUUUAUAAUCAACAUGAAAUCAGUCCAAGCAAUAGUUUAAAUGCUAUGUGAUUAGGAUAGAGUGGUUAAUCAUCAUGAUUUUUAGGAUAACAUGUUGUAACAUGGGUAGUUCACAAUAUGUUCCUUUUCUUAUUUUAUUUUCAUCCACUUUCUAUUUUAUUCCCUACUAGAACUCUUCAAUCCUGAUAAGCUUAUAAAAAGAGAAAUUCAAGUAUGGGGUUUUCUUUAUAGUUGGGAAGACUGCUGUUUUUCAGAUUCAAAUUCUCUUCUCUCUCAAGAUAUUGCUGACUUUAGAGCUUUCACCACUCAUUUUUUCUUAUAAAUGUUUUGGUUCACCUAUAGAACAAGCAAAGUAAUCAUAGGGUUCAUCACAUUGUUUGCCAAAAAAGGCUCCGAGUAUCAUAUCUUACAGGUUUGUUGCACUAUUUUUAUAAUAUAAUGUUAUAUAUAAUUUCAUUUAAAACUUGUUUUAAUAAAUAUUUCUUAUAAAAAUAAAAUUACAACUAAUAUUAUUAAUUUUAAUUAUCUACUAAUUGUUUUCAUUAAUUUGUAUAUCAUAAUUAAAUUUAAAUGCAAAACAUUUAUAAUUGAAAAUGGUGUCAUGUAAUUGUAUGUUUGUGUAAGUUUCUUUCGCUCCACAUCUAAAUUAAAUCCACGGUCUAAUUAUAUUGUACAAAACCAAGAUUAUGUUACAUUAUGCCAUAUAUUAUUCAAGAUAUAGCAUUUAUUAAAUACUAAAAAUAGCUCCCGUUUGGAAUUGUUUGUUACUUAUCUUAAAUUUGUUGUAUAUAUUAUGGAUAUCAUAGAAGAUAUUGAAUUGAGAUGUUUUAAUAUUUAUAUUUUUUUUUGGUACAUCGGAAAAUUA